This is a non-coding RNA of Pelobates cultripes (western spadefoot toad), 202 nucleotides long. Lineage: Eukaryota; Metazoa; Chordata; Amphibia; Anura; Pelobatidae. The record is from the annotation of a GenBank genome assembly.
CCCACCGCUGCCACCAAUUGUAACGGACCGUUUUGCACAAAAGGGAAAAAAAAACGCUUAGACGAUAAUCCCCUUUCAGAGACAGGCACAGCUACUGUAGAAUCACCAAAACUCACGAACUGAAUACAAGUGAAUGCUCCAAACUCCCGAACGGCAUACAAGGGAAUGCUCCAAACAUUCGAACUGCAUACAAGGGAAUGGU